CAGUCGCCACGGUAAUACGUAGGUGGCAAGCGUUGUCCGGAAUUAUUGGGCGUAAAGGGCUCGCAGGCGGUUUCUUAAGUCUAAUGUGAAAGCCCCCGGCUCAACCGGGGAGGGUCAUUGGAAACUGGGAAACUUGAGUGCAGAAGAGGAGAGUGGAAUUCCACGUGUAGCGGUGAAAUGCGUAGAGAUGUGGAGGAACACCAGUGGCGAAGGCGACUCUCUGGUCUGUAACUGACGCUGAGGAGCGAAAGCGUGGGGAGCGAACAGGAUUAGAUACCCCCGUAGUCCCUGUCUCUUAUAC
RNAcentral lists this ribosomal RNA (301 nucleotides) under uncultured bacterium. Its description in RNAcentral is "partial 16S ribosomal RNA". It matches the Rfam family "Bacterial small subunit ribosomal RNA", at positions 509 to 807 of the family's 1533-position model. The record is from RNAcentral.